GCCGGUGUGGCGGAACGGUAGACGCAGCGGAUUCAAAAUCCGCCGAUGGUAACAUCGUGAGAGUUCGAUUCUCUCCACCGGCACCA
Molecule: transfer RNA, 86 nt
Filed under: Flavimaricola marinus
Lineage: Bacteria; Pseudomonadati; Pseudomonadota; Alphaproteobacteria; Rhodobacterales; Paracoccaceae
Description: tRNA-Leu
Rfam family: tRNA
About the family: Transfer RNA (tRNA) molecules are approximately 80 nucleotides in length.
Source: RNAcentral